Molecule: non-coding RNA, 21 nt
Filed under: Caenorhabditis elegans
Lineage: Eukaryota; Metazoa; Nematoda; Chromadorea; Rhabditida; Rhabditidae
Source: RNAcentral
UGUUCAGGCGAAAUUUUUCUA